CUGAUAUGAGUCUAAAACUUAGUGCAAAAACAAGAUAAAACUAAAAAAAAAAAAGUACACAGAUGAAAGGGGUGAAGGGAAGUGUGUUUGUUAAAGGUUAGACGUGAAUAGUGUACUUCUUACCUAGGUUUACAACUGGUGGACCACACACCAGGUACUGACCACCUGGUGAGGAUUUGGCAAAUCCACCAAAAAAAAAACCACAUACAAUUUAACCAACAUCUCCACCAGCGCUACAGAUUUCUUCUUAUUCUGUGCAUUUAAUGCAGACAAUACUAUGCUUCUACAUGCUGUUUAGAAACAGAAGGGUGACCUGCACUGUAUCUUGAGUUUGCUGACAAUGCUUCUUUUGAUGACGGCACAGCAUCUUUUCCAGGGGCGGCUCUCGGACACGAGGGCUAACGCGGGAGGCCCGGCUUCUCCAGCAAGAGCCCCGGGUGUGGACAGACAGCAAGCAGCCGAACCAACUCCGCAGUCAGUAACCACUCGCUUUAGCCCGUCAUGGGAAUCUAGGAUGCCUUUGUGACCGCUGGAGAAUCGAAUCCUCUUGGUUUAUUUUAUUUAAUUUCCCACCUUUGUGUGCGUGUGUAUGAA
RNAcentral lists this long non-coding RNA (594 nucleotides) under Bos taurus (domestic cattle). RNAcentral describes it as "long non-coding RNA NONBTAT017563". The record is from RNAcentral. Lineage: Eukaryota; Metazoa; Chordata; Mammalia; Artiodactyla; Bovidae.